GCUGGCUGCACAGGCGUGCUGACAAUCACACAUGGCCAGGGGCUCGGAGGAGCUCCUCCCCGCCUGGAUUAAUGCUCUGCUGUCCCUGUCUUGAAAUUCUUAGUGCUGUUUGGACAAGGAUCCCGGGUUUUCGUUGUGCAUGGGAUUCCACGCAUCGUGUGGCCUGUUUUGUCCAUGGCACGUGGCCAUCAGCCAGCCUGGCUCAGCCCCACGGUUUCUGAUGGACUAGCGUGGCCUGAGACCCUGUGCAGAGGGAGCCCAGGCCAGUGCGGAUGAGGCUCCCACUAGUUCUCUCUCUGUCUAAAUGGGCACAAACUGUACCCACAGCUAGCGGGGACUCCAUGGCAUCAGCUAAGGCUGCCACGGGAAGCCAGGAUUUCCGAGUGUAUUUAAUAAGCUAAUUCGAAUGCAGAUAUUAGAAGCUAUAGGACUGUCUUUCCUCCUCCCAGACGGUGUUUAAUGAUGAGCAAGGAGAGACAUGGAAAAGGAGCCAGUGCCCAUCCCCCCCCCCCCCAUCUCGCAAACCUAAAGGAGACCUGAGCUGGUGUGUGGAGCUCUACACUGGAUGUGAGUCGGGAGUUAGCUGCCUUCGCGCCUUGUUAAAACCGAGGACCACAUUUGCUGAUGUCCAGACUUUUCAGACCUUUUCUCUCUUUCUUUCCCUAGAAGACCCACCCGGCUUCUUGCAGGUAAAACCAUCACUUUCAAGAACAGAGGAAUGCCAGCGGGAUGGGCGUGUGGCCGUUAUGAUGUCACCCAUCUUCAGAGACAAGACCUUGCCGAGCCGUCGCCCCCUGCUGGCCAUUAUGACAACCCGCGAUGACACCCCAGACCAGUCACGGGUGAAAGCCUGAAACCCACCAAGGAAAGGAGAUGUGUGAAAAUCAAUAUAGGAUGUGUGAAGGUACAAGUUAUGUGGAUACCAAAUAUAUGAGCACCACAACUUCUGUGAACAUGAAGGAAACUCCCCGAGACCUUACCCUGGGAUAUUGCAAAUUCAGCUUGGCCUGGAUCUGCCCAGCUUUCAUCUCACUAACGUUGUCACAAGUGCUUUCCCGUCUAGAUUCUCACAGCACACUGGACAGAGCUCUUUGACGGCUAUCUACACACAAAAGGACUUCACUAGCAGGCCUGAUUCCUGUCCUACAAAUGGCUUGGUCAGCAUUCUGAGAACUUAUGUUUAGGGAAGAUUCAUGUUAUCCUAACUGGGCCACACAUCUGCGGAAUUUCCCAGGCUCAGGGUCCAGUUGGAGCUGUAGCUGCCGGCCUACACCACAGCCACUGCAACGCAAGAUCUGAGCCACAUCUGCAACCCACACCACAGCUCAUGGCAAUACUGGAUCCUUAACCUAAUGAGCAAGGCCAGGGAUUGAACCCGCAUCCUCAUGGAUACUAGUCGGGUUCGUUACUGCUGACCCACAACAGGGACUCCGAACUAAUUUUUUUUUUCUCAUGGCCACGCCCGGGGUGUAUGAAGUCCCUGAGCCAGGGACUAAAUCCGAGCUGCAGCUGUGACUUAUGCCACAGCUGCAGCAAUGCUGGAUCCUUAACCCACUGCACUGGGCCAGGAAUCGAACCUGCGCCUCAGCAGCAACCUGGGACACUGCAGUCGGAUUCUUAACCCACUGUGCCACAGCAGGACUCCGGGAACCAAUCCCUUUUAACCAUCUAUUAUGAACACACUACUUAUUAUUUCAAUGAAUUUUUAGAAAACCGCUAGAGAACUUUCUCUCCAUUUUACAGACCAGGAAGCCAAGUCUUACCUUAUUGCAGAGUUGGGAUUGGCAUCUGCCCAGGACUUUUUCUGCUGUGGCACAUUUGCCUCCAUAGGUGUCAAUCUGUUAGGUUGUCUACUAUUUGAACCAAUAGCCCAGCUCACUAACCUCCUGUGCUGCGCUCUUUUCUCCUGGGGCUGCUGAAGUCCUUUUAUCUGAAUGAAGAGUGAGUGCAAAGCCCUACUUUGAAAAUACAGGCAGAUUAGCAGGGAGCCAUGUGGUCGUUCUGCUCAGAGAGGCACUGUUGAAAUCUGCAUGAGCAUGUAGCCAAAAAUACCCUCAGUGGUCCAGCAGUCCUUGCUAAACUGAGCACACAGGAAAUGCUCUUUAAUUAACACUGGCCGCAACUAUCUGAAAGAUACUGUGCUGUUUGUGACUGUUCCCUGGCUGGCCUGAUGUUCCUGAUAGCUGCCUGUCAGCCCGAGUUCCCUAAUUGUCUCCAGCUUUCUGUGUUUAUUCAAGUUGUGCUUCAGUGAAUCCGGAAAGCAUUUCCUCUUCCUUCCCAGCUUGUGACGCUCCCACUUCAGCUUGUCAUACAACAGCUGUCACGUUGUGCGUGUGAGCAGUCCGGCAGAAUGACAUCCCUCUGUAUCCUGACUUGGCCCCGGGACUGUGGGAGGACAUCCCUCCCCACGGAGGCCGGGGAUUGAAGAACCAAGGACGUUCGCGCCUGACUGUAAACGCGCAAAAUGCAUCGGCGAGGUGUGGUCCCAGCAGAUGAUACAGAUGUGAACUGCGG
Molecule: long non-coding RNA, 2514 nt
Filed under: Sus scrofa (pig)
Lineage: Eukaryota; Metazoa; Chordata; Mammalia; Artiodactyla; Suidae
Description: lncRNA (ENSSSCG00035038082.1)
Source: RNAcentral